GACAGAGGUGCCGAGCGUUAGGCGGAAUCACUGGGCUUAAAGCGUGUGUAGGCGGAUCGUUAAGUACCUUGUGAAAUCCCACGGCUCAACCGUGGAACUGCUGGGUAUACUGGCGGUCUUGAGCCACCUAGGGGCGAGCGGAACAAGCGGUGGAGCGGUGAAAUGCGUAGAUAUCGCUUGGAACGCCAAAGGUGAAAACAGGUUGCUGGGGAUGUUCUGACACUGAGACGCGAAAGCCAGGGGAGCGAACGGG
Molecule: ribosomal RNA, 253 nt
Filed under: uncultured bacterium
Lineage: Bacteria
Description: partial 16S ribosomal RNA
Rfam family: Bacterial small subunit ribosomal RNA
Source: RNAcentral